UUUAACAAACAUUGGGCUAAAGAAAGUUAGCUGGGUUUCCUUACACAUGCUUUCUUGUGACCUUUAAUUUUUUUAACAUAAUUUGUUUGUUUAUUUUUGGUUUGCUGGGUCUUUGUUUCUGCGUGAGCUUUUCUUUGGUUGCAGGGUGUGCCUUUUCAUCGCUGUGGCUUCUCCUGUUGCAGAGCACAGCUCUAGGGCAUGGGGCUUCAGUACCUGAGUUUGGAUGUGCACUCUGGACCGGCAACCUGCGUUAUAGCCGUAGUUCCCAAAUCUGGAAUCAUAAUCACAAAUUCCUAGGCUCCAAAGACUCAGUGAAUCAAAAGUUGGGGAAGUGGGAAUUCUGGACUUUCAUUGAAGGCACCUUUGGGAGACCAGCUUUAAGCAGCUAGUUUAAGCAGCUAGCUCGUCUGCUCCAUCAGGCUCCAAGGCAUGUCAUGCAUAGUGCAACCCUCCUCGCCCCAAUUUAUGUAACUGCACAACUCCUUUUAUCCAAGAAGUGCAUGUUGAUAUUUAUGGAACUAGCAGAUUAGAAAAUGCUGGUCAAUGUAUUUUUCAUACUAAAGGCUUAAAGAUUAAAAACAAAAAAAAGAUCAUCAAGUAUUGGUUUGGGACUUUCCUUUGAAUUGUAUAUUUCCUAUGUGAUGGUGGUUCAGAUAGCACUAAAAAUCACACCUGUUUUUUGAGUCCACAUUGACAUGUUAUUUAAAUUUUUUGUAGUGGUGUUUAUUUCAUUUAUAUUAUCCUUAUAGUUUUUUUUUUUUUUCUUUUUUGCAGCAGACAUUCCCAGGAGAUUGAAUGUAAUAUGUAGUAAAUUGUUCUGUUCUCUCCUUCUGUUAGGGAAUAAUGCUUAAACUUAUCUGAUUUAUAAAAACCCAAAUCCCCAGAGAUAGGAAAUUUUGUAAUGCAAAUGAGUUUGAUAAACUCUUGGCCUAAAAUAGAUGUCUUCUAAGAGAGGAGGGAGUGAAGGAUCUCAUUUUUAAAAAUCCUGGUUGUUUCUAGGGCUGGACUGUAGAUUGUUAAUUUGUUGUGCUGAAGGGGAUCAUGACAGUGGCUUAAUUAAAAUGAUGUGAUUAGACAAAUAUAAAGCAAAAAAUUCUGGUUCUGAGAAGGAGAUGAUUUUUCGGAGGGACAAGAAAACUUGGGAAAACCCGUCUGAAGAGGUUUACCUUUCUCCCCAUAGCUGCCCUGAUGGCACACCUCAGAGAGCUGGGAUCAGAGAGCUGGGCGGCGGAACCGGAUCAGCUCUGCAGGCUUCGCGUUCCUGUGCGGACAGCCUUGAAGGUGUUAGGGGGGCAGCUGUAUUUUGAGUGGAGAAAACAGGCUGUAAUGGGUAACUCCUGUCACAGCCAUUACAAUCAGAUGAAAUCUUUUCUUAUCUUGUAAAAGUGGACUCAGUGAAGACAGGUGUGUUCACUCGUGUCUUGGAUUGUGUGGCGUAAAGAAACUGGGACAUUUUGUACCAUGACGCGGGCAGCUGUCUACCUCGUGACACUUCAUGUGGCCUGUGGAGGACACUCAGUGGGCACGGUGCCGGCUGCCGUCUGCUCUGACAUUCCGAAGAUUGCGCUUAAAGCACCAAAGAAAAAAUCACAUCUCUCCAUUCCUCAAAUAGUAUGCUUUUAACAAUUCUUCAUCCGUUAAACAAUAAGGAAGACAUGAAGCAAAGUGUAAAAUCCCCUACCCCAUUCAAAUCCUUCUUUUGGGUGAAUUUUGAGUGCAUAAGCUUCUGGACCUUUUUCUAUACCUUACAAUGUAUGUAUGUAUAUACAUUUUAAAAAAUGAAUCAUGGUUGCUUUAAAAAAAAAUGCUUCACUGUUAGUCAAAAAGAGUUACUUGAUUCUUCUUAAUGAGUGCCUGACAUUCUACUGGAUGGAGUCACUAGAGGUACUUACCAUUAUGUAUGGAAGGGCAUUUAGUCUUUAUUUGGUAUAUCACUGCUAAAAACAGUCUAGUAAAAAGUAUUAUGACAGUAUUUCUGUAGAUUGAUUCAAAGAAGUGAAAUUUCAGAGUCAAAGAAUAUGCAAUAUUAAAAUUUUAAUUUAAUAAAAGGGUGGCUCACCGUCGUCCAAAGCUUCAUCCUAAAUUACUCUUUUAUUAAUAGUUGCAGUGUUUGAGUGUGCCCAAUUCCCCGCAUAUUCACCAUCCUUGGGGGAUAUGACUCUUAUUUCUCAAUUUGAUAAAGAAAAACAGGCCCUCAUUUGAUUUAUAGUUCCUUGGUCAUGUGAUGGUUGUAUGUCUUUUUCAUAGUUUUUUUUGUGUGUGUUUUUUUUGCUACUUGCAUGUCUUUUGCUGUGAAGGGCUGGCUCGUGUCCUUGUUCCAGAUUUAUCAGUGCAGUCCUUUCUCCCCACUCUCUCCAUGAAGGAUUGGUUUAGCCCCCAGCUCCCCUCCUUGGAUACCAAAAUCCCCUGAUGCUUAAGACCCUUACAUAAAAUAGCUUACUGAUUGCACAUAAUCUAGGCAUACACCCCCCCUCCUUCUGCUAUAUACUUUAAAUGAAUCUCUAGAUUACCUGAAAUACCUUAUACAUUGGAAAUGUAUGCAAAUAGUUAGAAAUACAACAUGAAUACUAUGUAAAUAGCAAGCAGCAAAUUCAAGUUUUGCUUUUUGGAAU
Molecule: long non-coding RNA, 2612 nt
Organism: Bubalus bubalis (water buffalo)
Lineage: Eukaryota; Metazoa; Chordata; Mammalia; Artiodactyla; Bovidae
Exons: 2
Source: RefSeq, a predicted model, not a curated record